RNAcentral lists this ribosomal RNA (590 nucleotides) under Pseudomonas filiscindens. RNAcentral describes it as "bacterial SSU rRNA". It matches the Rfam family "Bacterial small subunit ribosomal RNA", at positions 63 to 648 of the family's 1533-position model. The record is from RNAcentral. Lineage: Bacteria; Pseudomonadati; Pseudomonadota; Gammaproteobacteria; Pseudomonadales; Pseudomonadaceae.
CGAGCGGAUGAGAAGAGCUUGCUCUUCGAUUCAGCGGCGGACGGGUGAGUAAUACCUAGGAAUCUGCCUGGUAGUGGGGGACAACGUUUCGAAAGGAACGCUAAUACCGCAUACGCCCUACGGGGGAAAGCAGGGGACCUUCGGGCCUUGCGCUAUCAGAUGAGCCUAGGUCGGAUUAGCUAGUUGGUGAGGUAAUGGCUCACCAAGGCGACGAUCCGUAACUGGUCUGAGAGGAUGAUCAGUCACACUGGAACUGAGACACGGUCCAGACUCCUACGGGAGGCAGCAGUGGGGAAUAUUGGACAAUGGGCGAAAGCCUGAUCCAGCCAUGCCGCGUGUGUGAAGAAGGUCUUCGGAUUGUAAAGCACUUUAAGUUGGGAGGAAGGGUACUUACCUAAUACGUGAGUAUUUUGACGUUACCGACAGAAUAAGCACCGGCUAACUCUGUGCCAGCAGCCGCGGUAAUACAGAGGGUGCAAGCGUUAAUCGGAAUUACUGGGCGUAAAGCGCGCGUAGGUGGUUCGUUAAGUUGGAUGUGAAAUCCCCGGGCUCAACCUGGGAACUGCAUCCAAAACUGGCGAGCUAGAGUA